This 630-nucleotide long non-coding RNA is filed under the name Rattus norvegicus (Norway rat). Its description in RNAcentral is "long non-coding RNA NONRATT020604". The record is from RNAcentral. Lineage: Eukaryota; Metazoa; Chordata; Mammalia; Rodentia; Muridae.
AGACACCCCAGAUUACGCCCCCAGUCAGUGCAGUCUUCUUUUCCUUCUCCUCCCAGCCCUUCUUCUGAUGUGCAACUGACCAUUCUCGCUCAAAGAGUCAAGGAGGUUUUGCCCCAUGUGCCAUUGAAUGUCAUCCAGAGAGACCUGGCUAGGACUGGGUGUGUAGACUUGACCAUCACCAAUCUGCUUGAGGGGGCUGUGGCUUUCAUGCCUGAAGAUGUCACUGAGGGAUCUCAGUCCCUGCCCACAGCCUCUGCCCCAAAGGCAUUCGAUGGGUGUUUAAUGAUGAUGACUUCGCAAGCCCUCUGACAUUGUGAUCACCUCAGUUCCCCAGCUCUGGCCUGGUGACCCCUCAGCCCACAGCCCUAACAUUUGCCAAGUCUUCCUGGGCCCGUCAGGAGAGCCUGCAGGAGCGCAAGCAGGCACUGUAUGAAUAUGCAAGAAGGAGAUUCAGAGAGAGACAGGCCCAGGAGGCUGAAUGAGCCCAAAGAAACAGGAUGGUACCCAGAGCCGCAGGACGGAGACUGGGGGCAGCCCUCACCCAGCUAACAACAGGCCGGAUGAGUGGGUGGUAAAAAGGGAGGGAUGGGGCUCCCCCAAUCUCACAUUAAAUUCAGGGUUUUCACUCAA